Molecule: long non-coding RNA, 1675 nt
Filed under: Nicotiana benthamiana
Lineage: Eukaryota; Viridiplantae; Streptophyta; Magnoliopsida; Solanales; Solanaceae
Description: long non-coding RNA (NBEN_LNC010684)
Source: RNAcentral
UUAAACUCUCUCAUCUCCUUUCUUCUCUCUCAACCUAACACUAGACUCUGUCAAUCGCCUCUUUCUCCGGUCAUCUCCAGCGACCACCUUUCAACCCCAAGCCUCCAAUGGGUCUCUUAUUGCCUUGCUCAUCAUCUCUAAGGCCUUCAAGGAUCCUGGGCCAUGCUGAUUUGGACUUAAGGUUUCUGCUUCUAUUGUUCGAGGCAUCUCUGGUGUGAAUUUUUUGCAAAAUCACACCAUAUAUAUUACGAUCGGUGAUGUUUGCAGCAGGCUCUUUCGUUCCUAUUUGGGUUUCCUUUGAAACCCUAAUUCUCAUUUUCAUCUCUUAAGAUCUGUGUUAUUUUUUAAUGCUUAGGGUCUAUUUCUUCCUAUGAUUUGCACUAUUCUCGAACUUCUUCUAAAAUAUCAUCAACUUUAAACCAUUUUACUCUCUUUAAAAUUAGGGUUUCUCGGAGUUACUCGUGCACUUGUUUUAAUUUUUUUUCUUUAUGAUUAAACCUCAUCCCUCACUUAUCUUGACUGAUCCUGUGUUCCUACUAUUUUUUUAACUUGACUCUGUUAAAAGCCCUAAUUUUAGACGUUCUUUGCUUUGAUUCAGUGUGUUAGCCAUGACUACUUGAUUUUGGUAAGUAUUUGUUAGUUACCAUGAUUCGAAUGGGUUUUCCACUGUAUCUUUAGCAUACUCAUGUCACUUCUGUAUGAUUCUGUUCAAUUUGUUUGUUCAUCUCUUGCAUCUUUCUGUCGAUAUGGUGGACCUUGCCUGUUUGCUACGUCUGUUCAUUCGUAUCUGUUUGUAUGUUGAAAAUACAAAAUCAAUACUCCUCCUUCACUGAUUUUGAUUUCCUUAAUUGAUGGUGAUUGAAAGAUUUUCUUUUAUAACACAAAAAGCCUUACCUCGUCUUUUAAGCUGACUGAUUUUAUUACCAUAUUUUCUGUGAUACUUUAAUUCUACUGAGUCGUGUCCUUAAUUAAGGUUUUAUGAAUUUAGUCCUAGCUGACUACACUAUCCUUACUGAACCUUGAUUCCUUCCUUAUUUAGUCAUGCACUGAUUUUUCAUCUUGCCUUAUAUGAUACUGAAUCUUCCCAUUUGAUUUGAUUCCCUUAACUCAAGGGAGUACAUCCUUGAUUCUCUAAAUGAUUGAUUCUAAGUUCCUAAGUUAUUAUGCUACCAUGAUUCUUACCUUAUUUCACAACCUAUUUUCAACUAUAACUACCCUAAGACUUUCAUUAACAAGAGGACACUGGGGGUUUUCAAGAACUACCUCUCUUACUAAAAAUCCAUGCUCUAUAUUUCUCUUAUGCUAUUUGCUACUAUUAGCUGGCUGCAAGCCAAGGCUAAUCAUCUGUGCUCUUUAGUUCUUUAAUUCUGCUUACUUUUAUCUUCACUGGUAUGUCAUAGCUUUGAUUUAAAGCUUUAACAACAAUAUGCUUCUCUUAUUGUUUCAGUUUCUUUUAUUUCUUACUUGCCUCUACUUGUGAUUCUGUUGUGAAACUUGUAGUUACGUUACAUUAUCAGCAUGCUAUUAUGUCUCCCUUUCCCUUUAGAUUAAUGUAUUUACCUAUGUGUUUCAAAGCAUGCCUUGUCAGUUGUCUUUUAAUUCUUGUGUGCUUACCAUCCUAUGCAACCAAAUGUCUAUGUAUUCCCAAACCCCUUGACCGCUGUGUGACUAUUGA